CUUCACCUGAAAUGGUCACCAGGCUCUUCUGCGUGGCUCUUUGUCUCCUGUGGGCAGGAUGCAUGGAUGCUGGAGUCACCCAGGGUCCAAGAUACGAGAUUGCGAGGACAGGAAAGAAGACAUCCGUGUACUUCUGUGCCAACACUUACCC
Ailuropoda melanoleuca (giant panda) is the source of this 151-nucleotide long non-coding RNA. RefSeq lists it as uncharacterized. The transcript has 3 exons. The record is from RefSeq and is a predicted model, not a curated record. NCBI's taxonomy places the organism in Eukaryota, Metazoa, Chordata, Mammalia, Carnivora, Ursidae.